Molecule: non-coding RNA, 73 nt
Organism: Budorcas taxicolor (takin)
Lineage: Eukaryota; Metazoa; Chordata; Mammalia; Artiodactyla; Bovidae
Source: the annotation of a RefSeq genome assembly
UCCCUGGUGGCUCAGAGGUUAAAGCGUCUGCCUGAAAUGCAGGAGACCUUGGUUCAAUCCCCAGGUCAGGAAG